Molecule: long non-coding RNA, 1137 nt
Filed under: Salmo trutta (river trout)
Lineage: Eukaryota; Metazoa; Chordata; Actinopteri; Salmoniformes; Salmonidae
Description: lncRNA (ENSSTUG00000024078.1)
Source: RNAcentral
CAGACUGAAUGGUCAGGCAGGCAGAAUGGUCAGGCAGGCGGAUACAGAGUGGCAGACAGGCUCGAGGUCAAGGCAGGCAGAAUGGUCAGGCAGGCAGAAUGGUCAGGCAGGCGGAUACAGAGUGGCAGACAGGCUCGAGGUCAAGGCAGACUGAAUGGUCAGGCAGGCGGAUACAGAGUGGCAGACAGGCUCGAGGUCAAGGCAGGCAGAAUGGUCAGGCAGGCGGGUACAGAGUGGCAGACAGGCUCGAGGUCAAGGCAGACUGAAUGGUCAGGCAGGCGGAUACAGAGUGGCAGACAGGCUCGAGGUCAAGGCAGACAGAAUGGUCAGGCAGGCGGAUACAGAGUGGCAGACAGGCUCGAGGUCAAGGCAGACAGACAGAAUGGUCAGGCAGGCGGGUACAGAGUGGCAGACAGGCUCGAGGUCAAGGCAGGCAGAAUGGUCAGGCAGGCGGAUACAGAGCGGCAGACAGGCUCGAGGUCAAGGCAGGCAGAAUGGUCAGGCAGGCGGAUACAGAGCGGCAGACAGGCUCGAGGUCAAGGCAGGCAGAAAGGUCAGGCAGGCGGAUACAGAGUGGCAGACAGGCUCGAGGUCAAGGCAGGCAGAAUGGUCAGGCAGGCGGAUACAGAGUGGCAGACAGGCUCGAGGUCAAGGCAUGCAGAAUGGUCAGGCAGGCGGAUACAGAGUGGCAGACAGGCUCGAGGUCAAGGCAGGCAGAAUGGUCAGGCAGGCGGAUACAGAGUGGCAGACAGGCUCGAGGUCAAGGCAGACAGAAUGGUCAGGCAGGCGGGUACAGAGUGGCAGACAGGCUCGAGGUCAAGGCAGGCAGAAUGGUCAGGCAGGCGGAUACAGAGUGGCAGACAGGCUCGAGGUCAAGGCAGGCAGAAUGGUCAGGCAGGCGGAUACAGAGUGGCAGACAGGCUCGAGGUCAAGGCAGGCAGAAUGGUCAGACAGGCGGAUACAGAGUGGCAGACAGGCUCGAGGUCAAGGCAGACUGAAAGGUCAGGCAGGCGGGUACAGAGUGGCAGACAGGCUCGAGGUCAAGGCAGGCAGAAAGGUCAGGCAGGCGGGUACAGAGUCCAGAAACAGGCAAGGGUCAAAACCCGGGAGGACUAGAAGAAGGAGAAUAGCAAAAAG